GGAGGUUUUGAAACCAACAGGGAUUGCCUUAGUAGCGGCGAGUGAAGCGGCAAAAGCUCAAAUUUGUUUUCUGGCACUUUCAGUGUCCGAGUUGUAAUUUGAAGAAGGUAUCUUUGGGUCUGGCUCUUGUCUAUGUUUCUUGGAACAGAACGUCACAGAGGGUGAGUUUCCCGUGCGAUGAGAUGUCCCAGACCUAUGUAAAGUUCCAACGAAGAGUCGAGUUGUUUGGGAAUGCAGCUCUAAGUGGGUGGUAAAUUCCAUCUAAAGCUAAAUAUUGGCGAGAGACCGAUAGCGAACAAGUACAGUGAUGGAAAGAUGAAAAGAACUUUGAAAAGAGAGUGAAAAAGUACGUGAAAUUGUUGAAAGGGAAGGGCUUGAGAUCAGACUUGGUAUUUUGUAUGUUACUCUCUCGGGGGUGGCCUCUACAGAAUACCGGGCCAGCAUCAGUUUGAGCGGUAGGAUAAGUGCAAAGAAAUGUGGCACUGCUUCGGUAGUGUGUUAUAGUCUUUGUCGAUACUGCCAGCUUAGACUGAGGACUGCGGCUUCGGCCUAGGAUGUUGGCAUAAUGAUCAAAAGUCGGGCG
Molecule: ribosomal RNA, 583 nt
Filed under: Lodderomyces parapsilosis
Lineage: Eukaryota; Fungi; Ascomycota; Pichiomycetes; Serinales; Debaryomycetaceae
Description: Candida parapsilosis partial large subunit ribosomal RNA
Rfam family: Eukaryotic large subunit ribosomal RNA
Source: RNAcentral